RNAcentral lists this transfer RNA (75 nucleotides) under Taklimakanibacter albus. RNAcentral's name for it is "tRNA-Gln". It matches the Rfam family "tRNA". Rfam says of the family: Transfer RNA (tRNA) molecules are approximately 80 nucleotides in length. Their secondary structure includes four short double-helical elements and three loops (D, anti-codon, and T loops). The record is from RNAcentral. Lineage: Bacteria; Pseudomonadati; Pseudomonadota; Alphaproteobacteria; Hyphomicrobiales; Aestuariivirgaceae.
UCUCCCUUCGCCUAGCAGGUAGGGCAACGGGCUUUGGUCCCGUCCGGCUUGGUUCGAACCCAAGAGGGAGAUCCA